This 57-nucleotide transfer RNA is filed under the name Ovis aries (sheep). It matches the Rfam family "tRNA", at positions 8 to 63 of the family's 71-position model. From Rfam's summary of the family: Transfer RNA (tRNA) molecules are approximately 80 nucleotides in length. Their secondary structure includes four short double-helical elements and three loops (D, anti-codon, and T loops). Lineage: Eukaryota; Metazoa; Chordata; Mammalia; Artiodactyla; Bovidae. The record is from Rfam by way of RNAcentral.
UGGCUCAGAGGUUAAAGUGUCUGCCUGCAAUGCAGGAGACCUGGGUUCAAUCCCCUG